This 709-nucleotide ribosomal RNA is filed under the name Streptomyces cacaoi. RNAcentral describes it as "bacterial SSU rRNA". It matches the Rfam family "Bacterial small subunit ribosomal RNA", at positions 80 to 803 of the family's 1533-position model. Lineage: Bacteria; Bacillati; Actinomycetota; Actinomycetes; Kitasatosporales; Streptomycetaceae. The record is from RNAcentral.
CUUCGGUGGGGAUUAGUGGCGAACGGGUGAGUAACACGUGGGCAAUCUGCCCUUCACUCUGGGACAAGCCCUGGAAACGGGGUCUAAUACCGGAUAUCACUUCUACAGGCAUCUGUGGGGGUUGAAAGCUCCGGCGGUGAAGGAUGAGCCCGCGGCCUAUCAGCUUGUUGGUGAGGUAAUGGCUCACCAAGGCGACGACGGGUAGCCGGCCUGAGAGGGCGACCGGCCACACUGGGACUGAGACACGGCCCAGACUCCUACGGGAGGCAGCAGUGGGGAAUAUUGCACAAUGGGCGAAAGCCUGAUGCAGCGACGCCGCGUGAGGGAUGACGGCCUUCGGGUUGUAAACCUCUUUCAGCAGGGAAGAAGCGAAAGUGACGGUACCUGCAGAAGAAGCGCCGGCUAACUACGUGCCAGCAGCCGCGGUAAUACGUAGGGCGCAAGCGUUGUCCGGAAUUAUUGGGCGUAAAGAGCUCGUAGGCGGUCUGUCGCGUCGGAUGUGAAAGCCCGGGGCUUAACCCCGGGUCUGCAUUCGAUACGGGCAGACUAGAGUGUGGUAGGGGAGAUCGGAAUUCCUGGUGUAGCGGUGAAAUGCGCAGAUAUCAGGAGGAACACCGGUGGCGAAGGCGGAUCUCUGGGCCAUUACUGACGCUGAGGAGCGAAAGCGUGGGGAGCGAACAGGAUUAGAUACCCUGGUAGUCCACGCCGU